This is a long non-coding RNA of Cyanistes caeruleus (blue tit), 2092 nucleotides long. RefSeq lists it as uncharacterized. NCBI's taxonomy places the organism in Eukaryota, Metazoa, Chordata, Aves, Passeriformes, Paridae. The record is from RefSeq and is a predicted model, not a curated record.
CCCGGUCCGGGGAGCCCGGCCUGGGCGGCUCGGGGGGAGCCGGGGCCGAGCUGUCGCCUCUACAGCCGCCUGGGGAGAGGGUCCGUCAGCAACAACGGGGCGUUUCGUACCUUCCUGUCGAGGUACCUUCGAGGCCGAGAACUCUGAGGGCAUCCAGUUCCCAGUGAGUCUGGAAGUCAACAGGAACCCAAGAGCUGAGUUUAGAGUCCCUUUUGGCAAGAAAAGCACCACCUGGUGAACCACUUUGAAAAGCUGAAAGAAGUAAACUGGUUUGCGAACACGUAGCGAAGCCCUUUGUUCUCACAAAGAAUAAGGUGGAGAUACUUCCCUGCAGUGACACCAAUCAGAGAGGGGCUGAGGAUGGCAGGAGGAGCAGGAUAAAAGGAAGGGAUGGUGUUCAUGGUACAAUGCCCAGCUCCAUGUGCUUCCUGCGCUGUUCCUAGCCAGGUUCUCAGCUCCUAAGCUGAAGUCUGCUGAAGUGUCCUUAGUUUUUGCUGCAUUGGCCGCCAAAGCCCUCUACCUUUCAGUGGAUCCAAAAGCAUGUGUUUUGGAUUGUAAGCAAGAAACAAAGAAUGAAGGAAAGCCAGGAAGUCAUCAAUCUAGGAAAAAAGUUAGAGUUUUAACUAUGGCUCCUCCCAACAAUUGAUUAAAGGCUAAGACAGCAGCUUGGCUGGAAGGACUGCUUCCCUCCUGACUCCCAAGAAAUCUCUUUUCCUUCUGAACCAUGACCAUGUUACUGCACCUCUCAUGAGCUUCAUGUCAGUAGAUCACCACUAGCUGAAGUAAUAGCAAGGUUCAAGCCACCUGUAGGUCAAGGAGGUCAGAUACUUCUCCAUGUCCGUUUCAGUUACUUCAGUGGAACAGAAAGAGCCCCAAGAAAUUCAAGAAACACUCAGCAUUCCCAGCCUCCAGUUUAACAGAACCUGAUUAUCUCCAUUGAAUUCAGAAGUCCCCUGGAUUGAUUUGCUGACUUAAUGUUGGCCAGUGUCACCAGCUGAAUUAUGAACCUUCAUUUGGUGGUGGAACUGCUUACCAGUGCCUCUUCUUGAAGUGUAUUUUUAGUUCUGGAUGUCUAGAAAGUCCUCAGCAUCACCUCAGGAAUGUGCCAAAUCGACGUUAAUUUCCAAAAAGUUCUGAUAUGAGAAGCAAUUAUGUCAAGUAAAAUUCUUGGCUGAGAGAAACUGAUGUUAUCAUUUAAAAAAAAGAUCUGGCAAAGCCACGGUGGUAAUGAUAUGAAAAGUAAAUAAGUGCAGGAGAUAAUACAAAGAUGCUGAGUUGGACAGGAAAUUAUUUCUAAUAUGAAGUCUUCCUUUUAUAAUACUCAUUCCACCAAAAUGAAUCAGUGCACAUCCCCCUGAUUUAAAUGCAUUUAAAUUGCUGUUUAGGUACCCUUAUUCAUUGCUGUUUACAGAAUAUUAGUUUAAAUGCAGAGUUCAUUUAAUUCUGGAUAGAUCAGUAAUUGUGGUAAUGAACAAGGUGUAGCCUCAACCAUAUGCUUUAAGAGAAAUAAAUGCUCAUUUACAAAAUAAAAAUACUUUCUUUUUGUGAUUUCAUAGAGGUAAAAAAAAAUAAAGACCCUUUUCUGGCUCAAGUGAAAAGUUAGGUUCCAUGAAAGCUUAAAGUCAUGACAAUUCCUUGUGCACUACAAAACCUGUGACUGCUACAAAACAAGAUGCACACACUUAAAUUCUCAGCAAUAAAAGUUUCAGAUAAAAAAAAUUAAUUAUUAUUUGAUUAACUGGUAAAAUGUGGUGGUAUAAAUAAUUCAGAUAAUUUCCUUUUCCCACUGAUGAAAAUUCUUGAUAAAGUUACUUUAGUACCAAUUGUCUAUAAAUAGGUUUGAUUAGGGCCUCCAUAUUUUCAGUCAGUGGUUCUACUUUGAAUUGCUGUACAAUUAAUAAACAUGAUUUUAAACUUGUAGUGAUAUGUUACAUAUAUAAACAAUUGUUUAAUUCACAAAAUAAAUGAUGAAGGUGUCAUAGUUCAGCUUUGUAAAGUGGUUAACUUGCUCUUCUUGCCUUCACAAAUGGAGGAAUGGCUGCUUGAUUUAUUUUUUUUUUAAUAAAUAUCUUCAGCAUAUUUUGUAAUAUAA